GGGGGCGAAACGGGUUCGACGGGGACAAUGAAGUUUAAGCGGCAUGCCGAGGUUCCUGCCUGCUCGUUAAACAGGUGGGGUUAAAUGCAAACGCAGACGACUAUGCGUAUGCCGUAGCCGCAUAAAGCGGCUACCGUCCUGCCGGUCCGGGUCCGCGGGGCCGGCAAAGGGCGUCGACUAGCGGAACCGCCCGCUGCACCUGCCUGCAGGCAGCGGGUGGAAUCCUGCCCGAGGGGAGUCCCGGAGAGCGAGAACUCAAUACCCGGGCUAAGCAUGUAGAAGCUUAAACGGAAGGUUCUCGGACGCGGGUUCGACUCCCGCCGCCUCCACCA
This 332-nucleotide transfer-messenger RNA is filed under the name Deltaproteobacteria bacterium. It matches the Rfam family "transfer-messenger RNA". From Rfam's summary of the family: Bacterial tmRNA, also known as 10Sa RNA or SsrA, is named for its dual tRNA and mRNA-like properties. The record is from RNAcentral. RNAcentral also lists the same sequence under 2 other names. Lineage: Bacteria; Pseudomonadati; Myxococcota; Myxococcia.